UUGAUCCUGGCUCAGAAUCAACGCUGGCGGCGUGCCUAACACAUGCAAGUCGAACGAGAAAGUGGAGCAAUCCAUGAGUAAAGUGGCGACCGGGUGAGUUACACGUGACCAAUCUACCCUUGAGUGGGGGAUAACCUCGGGAAACCGGGUCUAAUACCGCAUAAUAUCCUUGGAACGGAAGUACUGGGGAUCAAAGGAGUAAUUCGCUUAAGGAGGAGGUCGCGGCUGAUUAGCUAGUUGGCGGGGUAAUGGCCCACCAAGGCAAAGAUCGGUAGCCGGCCUGAGAGGGCGCACGGCCAUACUGGAACUGAAACACGGUCCAGACUCCUACGGGAGGCAGCAGUGGGGAUUUUUGCGCAAUGGGGGAAACCCUGACGCAGCAACGCCGCGUGGAGGAUGUAGUCCCUUGGGACGUAAACUCCUUUCGACCCGGACGAUAAUGACGGUACUGGUGGAAGAAGCCCCGGCUAACUUCGUGCCAGCAGCCGCGGUAAUAAGGU
RNAcentral lists this ribosomal RNA (500 nucleotides) under uncultured Acidobacteriota bacterium. RNAcentral's name for it is "bacterial SSU rRNA". It matches the Rfam family "Bacterial small subunit ribosomal RNA", at positions 13 to 529 of the family's 1533-position model. The record is from RNAcentral. Lineage: Bacteria; Pseudomonadati; Acidobacteriota.